Molecule: ribosomal RNA, 124 nt
Organism: Callithrix jacchus (white-tufted-ear marmoset)
Lineage: Eukaryota; Metazoa; Chordata; Mammalia; Primates; Cebidae
Source: Ensembl
GUCUACAGCCAUACCACCUUGAAUGUGCCUGAUCUUGUCUGAUCUCAGAAGCUAAGCAGGGUCGGGCCUGGUUAGUAUAGUACUUGGAUCGGAGACUGCCUGGGAAUACCGUAUGCCGUAGGCU